UUUAUUUAUAAAAUUGAUGAAUGAAAAUUAUAUACAGUUGUCCUUCACUAUUCAUGGGUGAUUGGUUCCAGGAAACCCCCCUCCCUACCAGACACCAAAAUCUGCAGAUGCUCAAGCCUGUUGCAUGAAAUGGCACAGCGUUUGCAUAUAACCCAUGCACAUCCUCCUGUAUACAUGAAAUCAUCUCUAGAUUACUUAUAAUUCCUGAUACAGCCUACACACCACCUCACUUGUGUCCACACAAUAUAGUAUUUUUGCUUUUUGGAACUUUGUGGAUUUUUUCUCUGAAUAUUUUUGAUUUAUAUUUGGUUCAAUAAACACCUGUAAACCCCACAGAUAUGGAGGAGCGACUGUAUAUUUAUAGUAUGAAAGAUGAUGUGUUGACAUUCCAGGCUGUCUCCCCAUCUCAAGGUCAACUCAUCAACAACCUGAGCUCCACCUUCCCCUUCAGUCCCCUGCCCUAUAACAUAAAUAGUCACAGGCUCCAGGGUUUACAAUGUAGCCAUCAUUGGCGACAGUUAUUCUUCCCACCACAGCACCCAUUUCCCCUGUAUUCAAUCUCCCUUGACCCCAAAUACAGUUGGGGCCUGGGUGAUGGGACCCUGAUGGACACCCCCACCAGAAGCUCUGGGAUUCAGGAGGUGGGACAGUGAGAAGCCCAGACAGAAA
RNAcentral lists this long non-coding RNA (669 nucleotides) under Homo sapiens (human). Its description in RNAcentral is "HSALNT0398734". The record is from RNAcentral. Lineage: Eukaryota; Metazoa; Chordata; Mammalia; Primates; Hominidae.